CCUACGGGUGGCAGCAGUGGGGGAUAUUGCACAAUGGGGGAAACCCUGAUGCAGCGACGCCGCGUGGGUGAAGAAGUAUUUCGGUAUGUAAAGCCCUAUCAGCAGGGAAGAAAGACGACGGUACCUGACUAAGAAGCCCCGGCUAACUACGUGCCAGCAGCCGCGGUAAUACGUAGGGGGCGAGCGUUAUCCGGAUUCACUGGGUGUAAAGGGAGCGUAGACGGCCGUGCAAGCCAGGAGUGAAAGCCCGGGGCCCAACCCCGGGACUGCUCUUGGAACUGUGCGGCUGGAGUGCGGGAGGGGCAGGCGGAAUUCCUGGUGUAGCGGUGAAAUGCGUAGAUAUCAGGAGGAACACCGGCGGCGAAGGCGGCCUGCUGGACCGCGACUGACGUUGAGGCUCGAAAGCGUGGGGAGCGAACAGGAUUAGAUACCCUUGUAGUC
RNAcentral lists this ribosomal RNA (441 nucleotides) under uncultured bacterium. RNAcentral's name for it is "partial 16S ribosomal RNA". It matches the Rfam family "Bacterial small subunit ribosomal RNA", at positions 338 to 795 of the family's 1533-position model. The record is from RNAcentral.